GCACCACUGCACUCCAGCGUGGAUGACAGAGCAAGACACCCUGUCUCAAAAAAAAGACUAUACAACAGAGCUCUGAAAAAGAUCACACUUUCAGGCUCAAGGAGCUCUCUUGUUCCUUCCACCAUCUGAGAACACAGUGAGAAGUCCCCAGGCUUCAACCUGAAAAAGGGCCCUCAUCAGAACCUGAUCAUCAGAACUUGGCACCCCAAUCUUUGUCUUCUGAUCUACAUUGUGACCUAAGUCAGUUAUACUCUCUUCUGCUGCCAUGUGAGAAGGCCCA
This 280-nucleotide long non-coding RNA is filed under the name Homo sapiens (human). RNAcentral's name for it is "HSALNT0369667". Lineage: Eukaryota; Metazoa; Chordata; Mammalia; Primates; Hominidae. The record is from RNAcentral.